This 234-nucleotide ribosomal RNA is filed under the name Pantoea agglomerans. RNAcentral describes it as "partial 16S ribosomal RNA". It matches the Rfam family "Bacterial small subunit ribosomal RNA", at positions 353 to 579 of the family's 1533-position model. The record is from RNAcentral. Lineage: Bacteria; Pseudomonadati; Pseudomonadota; Gammaproteobacteria; Enterobacterales; Erwiniaceae.
AGUGGGGAAUAUUGCACAAUGGGCGCAAGCCUGAUGCAGCCAUGCCGCGUGUAUGAAGAAGGCCUUCGGGUUGUAAAGUACUUUCAGCGGGGAGGAAGGCGAUGGGGUUAAUAACCGCGUCGAUUGACGUUACCCGCAGAAGAAGCACCGGCUAACUCCGUGCCAGCAGCCGCGGUAAUACGGAGGGUGCAAGCGUUAAUCGGAAUUACUGGGCGUAAAGCGCACGCAGGCGGU